This 396-nucleotide ribosomal RNA is filed under the name uncultured bacterium. Its description in RNAcentral is "bacterial SSU rRNA". It matches the Rfam family "Bacterial small subunit ribosomal RNA", at positions 30 to 424 of the family's 1533-position model. The record is from RNAcentral.
AUUGAACGCUGGCGGCGUGCUUAACACAUGCAAGUCGUGCGGUAACAGGCGUAGCAAUACGUGCUGACGAGCGGCGAACGGGUGCGUAAUACAUGGGAAUCUGCCCUUUAGUGGGGAAUAACCCGGCGAAAGCCGGGCUAAUGCCGCAUAAGAUCUUCGGAUGAAAGCGGGGGAUCGUAAGACCUCGCGCUGAUGGAUGAGCCCAUGUCGGAUUAGCUAGUUGGUGAGGUAACGGCUCACCAAGGCGACGAUCCGUAGCUGGUCUGAGAGGACGGCCAGCCACACUGGGACUGAGACACGGCCCAGACUCCUACGGGAGGCAGCAGUGGGGAAUAUUGGACAAUGGGCGAAAGCCUGAUCCAGCGACGCCGCGUGUGUGAAGAAGGCCUGCGGGUU